UUUUGUACUACUUUUUUUUUUUUUCAACUGGUUUAAUCAUAUAACUUAACUAUAUGUGUACAAUAAAAUUUUCCGAGGAUGAUUUGAUACUAGUAGGACGGGAAAUGGCACUCAAGUCCUUUUUCAUCCAAGGGAACUUCAGAGUUGUGAGCCACAAGUGGGAGCAGCGAACUACGUGGUCAAGAAUGUACCCAAACACCCAUGAAUUAAGUCCUAUGAAUUGUCAAUAUCAAUGUACUCAGAUGCUGGUUCAUCAGAAUCAGAUCCAUCAUCAAAGCUUAUAUUUUGAGUUUCCACAGCAUUAUUCCCCCAGCUCUGAUCACCUGCUCUUAGAAAAUCUUUCAAAUCAUCUAAAAUAUAAGGUUCCACCAGUUUCCAGAACCAUGUGGAAUCACUUCCUAAAAAUCCUAUCCAAAACACAUUUCCCUUUCCCUUCACCCUGCAAUUGAGAGAUUUCGCUUUUAAAGUUUUAACAACCUUUUCAACCCCCUCUCUACUUCCUUUAAGCUUCAACAAGAUAUCCUUGGAUGAUGUUCUGUGCCCUCCAUACAUAUACCAGUAUGCAAGAACCUGUGGUGACAGCCACCUAUGAAUUAGCUUUGGUAUUGUGGCCCGACCUUUAGGCCAAAACUGGUCUGCAUAGAAACCAAAGUAAGAGUGUGAGAUAGUAGAAAAUCUGCAAGAUACAUCAUCACUACCAUCACUAAUCUUACAGGAGGGAUGUAACCACUCAUGGUACUGGUCAUAUAAAUAUCUCCUCAAAACACAAUGUGUGCUAGAACUCUCAUUGAACUCAAAUUGUAUCCUGUGUCUCUUCCUUUGUUCAUCUGAAUCAAUUCGCAAACCUCCUAACAGCAACCCCACUAAAAUUUCUCUCUGAUCUUUGCUUAGCUUGAGGCUUACAGGCUUCUUAACCUCUUUCCUACUCAAGCUCAAUACAUAUUCAAGCUUUCCCAUUAAUGAGGAUUCAAUAUCAUAUUUCUUCUGGCACAUCAGAUCAUAUAUCUUCUCCGCCUUCAUGUAGUCUCCAGAAGAGAGGUACCCUUUGAGAAUAAUAUUGCAUGAUCUGGUGUUAACACCAACAACUUUAUCUCUAUACAUAUGGUUGAAGGUCUCUUCUGCUUUCUCAAGAUCACCACUUUUUACCAAAGAAUCCAGGUAUAUAUUGCAAAUAGUCAGCUUUCUCUGCAUGCCUUGAGACCUGUCAACCAAACCGGACUAUUUGCAAU
This 1229-nucleotide unclassified non-coding RNA is filed under the name Hevea brasiliensis (rubber tree). Lineage: Eukaryota; Viridiplantae; Streptophyta; Magnoliopsida; Malpighiales; Euphorbiaceae. The record is from RNAcentral.